Molecule: long non-coding RNA, 3583 nt
Organism: Motacilla alba alba
Lineage: Eukaryota; Metazoa; Chordata; Aves; Passeriformes; Motacillidae
Exons: 2
Source: RefSeq, a predicted model, not a curated record
AGCUGGCAGCCCUGCCAGUGGCAGGGAGACCAACAAGGGAUGCUCCGGGCUGCCCUGGGGGCCAUACCGAGCCCUCGUGGGUCACUGUGGCCUUGCAGAGCACUGACCCCUCAGCUCCCAAUCUUCCUUGGCUGUGACAUUAUGCCCUCCAGGCCGCUGUCCCUGUCCCCACCAUGUCCAGAUGGGUGCUGCUGGCACAGAGGGGCUGGCCCCUGCUCACGGUGGCUGCAGCUGGCAUGGGAAGCUCAGUCCAGCCCACGGCUGGAACACACCACAGACACAGCUGUGCUGCUCCAUCCCACACGGGGAGCAUGGCUGGGUAACACGGAGCCAAGUCCUUCCUUAGACACUCUUGCCUGCAGCAGCAAUGGGAAUAAAUCCAGGAGAAGCUGUUUUGGAUGGCUUGAGAAGCUGUAAAAUGUGAAGAAACAUUUGAAUGUGAGAUUCAAAUAGGUGAGGAGGGAACUCGGCACAGGAGGAGAUGCAAUUUAGAAGGAGAGGCCACGCCAUGCAUAUUUCAUGGGCCAGCCCUCAGCAGAGGCUCCUCUGACACCACCAACAUCACAGAUGGCAAGGAGUAACAGCAGCCACUCCCAGCAUCUGGGAAGGAGAACAGUGGGAUGAUUGUUCCUCCUGCCUCCUGGUAGAAGUGGGCCAGGACACAGAUCCUGGAAGCUGCUGGCUCUGCUCCCCGGGUGUGGGACCAGCCUUCCUCACCCUCUUCUUCCUCCAGCCCAGUGCCAGGCUAGGGGCAAGGCUGCCCCAUCCUUGGGGCUGGGGCUCUGUGCUCACUGUCCCACCGCUCUGUGAGCCUUCCAGCCCUGCUGCCCUAGCAUGCUGUGCUUCCAGCAUUGCUCCUCUGAGGUCUCCCUGGAGAGUGCUGGCUCAGGUCCUCCUCUGUCAGGUGUUUCUCACUGGCCAUGUGCCUGACUUGUGCCCAGCACCUGCACUACUAAAUCACUCCCAGCGCAGGCCAGCAUGCAGGAGGGACACCUGCAGCCUGUGGGAGCAGGGUGGAUCCUCAGCUGGCAUCUGGCUCUGCCUCAGGUGCCCCUGGACCAGCAGGUGCUGGGAUGGCAGGAGCUGGGUGGGUCAGAGUCUGAUGUGGAUUCACUGGCAAAACCCAGGAGAAGGUAGACUUCAGGACAGUGCUUCCCAAAUUGCAGCCACGAGUGGGUUCUUGUCUUGUAGGGGGUUACUUUUCUUCACAAGAGGCUUCAUCUCCCUCUGUGCCACUCUUCAGGGGGAACUCCAGCUCUACUACUGCCCACUCUGAGGGGAUAAACCCAUGUGGGGUGCAGGAGCUCCCAGCUCCUGUGGGUGUGUUUGGAUAAUGAGUUGGGGUGAAUCUCACUCGUGCCACAGUACGGACCACACUCUGGCAGCAGGAUGGAGGAACCAGCCUUCCUUCUCACAGCUGGGGAACCAGGGAACUGCAUCCUUCCCCUUGCACUUGGUGCUGCAGAGGCCACAGGAGUUCAGCUGCUCCAGCAGGAUUAGGGGUGGUCACUAUCCAGGUGUGGCACAGGCAGGUGAGGCUGCAGUGCUUGGUGUCCUGCCUCCAUGAGAGCAGAGUAGGAGUUUGGGAACUUGCUGGUCACCUGGGGAGUGACAGGGUGGGAGCUCCCUCUGGUUCCUGGGGCAUUCCUUUGGGCUGGGGGCCCUGGAGAGAGCAGCUGAGAGCUGCCACAGACUCUGCAGAGGAAAGAGAUGCUGGGUAGCUCCUCUUGCAGCUGAUCUCCUGGCCAGCCCAGACCUUGCUCUCCCAGCAUGGUUGGGAUUUUGAAAGCUGGGCUAUGUUCUGAUCCCUGGCAUUUUCCGCUUGCAUCCCAUUGAUUUUUGGUGAAUUGCUUGCAGCCCAAGAAAUAAAUGUCUUCUUGAUUCUUCCUGUGAGCUCCUGGGUGCAGCUCAGCAGCCAUGAGAAAAUAUCCAGGUGAAUUCCUGUCUCCAUAAAGGUCAAUGCUAUUGAAAAACCAAAUUGCCUCUGAAAGGGACCCAAGGAAAUAUCCAAGGCAGGGAAAGACACAUCAGACUUACCAUAUCAGUUAAUUGUUUCUUUGCAUAGAGUCUUUCUCUUUUUCCAUCCACUGGCAUAAGGGAGUCAUCUGAGAUGUCCGCAAGUGUGCUUGGGGGAAAAGGAACGCCAGCGAAGACCUGAAACAAUUUUGCUGCUCUUACAGCUGAGAAAGGAUCAUGCUGGAAGGUUUCUGUGGAAGUGGAGCCUGGGGAAUGGACAUGAAAAGCCUUUUUUUCCCAGCUGACUCCCUUGGUGGGCCAAAGUAAAUUUCUCUCAUUAGAGCUGCUGAUACAGCUGGAAGAAGAGAGCUCUCUCCAAAACUUCAUCUGCCAGUGAGGGGCAGCAUGACCCCAGAAAAUCUUGGGGUCUUUGGCUGCCUCAGCUUCUCGUCCCUCUGGCUGUGGCUCUUUGCACUGGAACUUUGAAAAAAAUUAUUCUGGGAUGGAAAAUUUCAAACCUAAAGGGUAAAGUUGGACAAAAUCCAGGUGAGGCUUGGCAGAGAGACCCGAUAAAGGUUGUUCCUUAUGCUGACGUUUUUGUUCUGUGCUUUGGAGAGCCUCCCUGCAGCUCUGAUCUGGCCAGGCCAGGCUCUGCUCGUGUAAGAGGUGAUGUUAACACCACCACGUGGGACUUCCUCUGGGUUUUCCCUAUUUAUUUAUUUUUUUUUUUUGUCUCUGGAGCUGUGAAUAUUUCAGAAGCAGACGCUGCCGUGGUCUUACACCCUGUGGGGAUGGCUGUCCCAUUAGCCCGCCCCGCUCCCAGAGGUGGCCCAGUGGCUUUGAUCUUCUGGCUGCCUAUCCACAGCAGAUGCUGCACAUCUGUGGUGGCACCAGAACACCCUGACACAGCCCAGCUAAAUCACCUGAUGGAAAUGGGGAGCUGGGAUCCUGUUGGAAACUGGAAACCAAAAGCAAAGAGCAGCUCUGUAUGUGUGCUGGCUCUGGAGUGCGCACGAGGGUGCUUUGAACAAGGGACAUGCUGGAGACUGCUGUGACUCCUCCCUCCUGUGAAUGCUUGCACUCAGGUCUCGCCAGAGCGUGCCAGCCCAUCCCUGCAAGGUUGGAGGAGCUCUGCAGAAGGACCUCCAUGGGCUGUGCUGAGUCCUGGGCUCCUCUGCAUCAGGAAGGACCCCACAGCACUCCGUGGGGUUGCCAUGGGUCGCUGAGAAAGUUCCCAGGUGCUGAGGCCAAAGGCCUCAAAAUUCAUCUGUGGAGAAGCAGGAAGAUUAGGUCUGAUUAAUUCCAAGGGUUUAAACCAUUUUCGUGUUACUAAAAAGAUGUCUUUUGCUCUAGUUUAAAAAAAAAAAAAAAAAAAAAAAAAAAGAGAAAGACAGCAAAUUCAAGGUUAAAAAAGCAAUUUGAAUAUGAGAGAUGAAUCUGCUUUGCCAUAAAUUUGGAGAAGUCGUCACCAAAUUUGAUGUGGGGUUGCUGUCUUCUCCUUCCCUCCAGGGAGCACUGUGGCAUCUCCUUUCCCCUGGAUUUUCCCCACUCCAGAGAGAACAGAUUUGUGUUUCUUACCCAGAAAAAGAAAUAAAGCUCCAACAACCUGCCUGUGCAGGUCUCUUGU